Molecule: transfer RNA, 75 nt
Filed under: Slackia piriformis
Lineage: Bacteria; Bacillati; Actinomycetota; Coriobacteriia; Eggerthellales; Eggerthellaceae
Also listed under: 7 other names
Description: tRNA-Val
Rfam family: tRNA
About the family: Transfer RNA (tRNA) molecules are approximately 80 nucleotides in length. Their secondary structure includes four short double-helical elements and three loops (D, anti-codon, and T loops). Further hydrogen bonds mediate the characteristic L-shaped molecular structure. tRNAs have two regions of fundamental functional importance: the anti-codon, which is responsible for specific mRNA codon recognition, and the 3' end, to which the tRNAs corresponding amino acid is attached (by aminoacyl-tRNA synthetases). tRNAs cope with the degeneracy of the genetic code in two manners: having more than one tRNA (with a specific anti-codon) for a particular amino acid; and 'wobble' base-pairing, i.e. permitting non-standard base-pairing at the 3rd anti-codon position.
Source: RNAcentral
GGGCGGUUAGCUCAGGGGGAGAGCACUACCUUGACACGGUAGGGGUCACAAGUUCAAAUCUUGUACCGCCCACCA